Molecule: ribosomal RNA, 256 nt
Filed under: uncultured bacterium
Lineage: Bacteria
Description: partial 16S ribosomal RNA
Rfam family: Bacterial small subunit ribosomal RNA
Source: RNAcentral
UAAUACGUAUGGGGCAAGCGUUAUCCGGAUUUAUUGGGCGUAAAGCGCGCGUAGGCGGCUUGUUAAGUCAGGUGUGAAAUCCGGGGGCUCAACCCGCGGCUUGCAUCUGAAACUGGCAGGCUUGAGUCUGGUAGAGGAAAGUGGAAUUCCUGGUGUAGCGGUGAAAUGCGCAGAUAUCAGGAGGAACACCAGUGGCGAAGGCGGCUUUCUGGGCCACGACUGACGCUGAGGCGCGAAAGCUAGGGGAGCGAACAGG